Molecule: long non-coding RNA, 267 nt
Filed under: Lathyrus oleraceus (garden pea)
Lineage: Eukaryota; Viridiplantae; Streptophyta; Magnoliopsida; Fabales; Fabaceae
Description: Pisum sativum (pea) long non-coding RNA (PSAT_LNC027530)
Source: RNAcentral
AAACCACUAGGACAAGGCCUAGGGUCAAAGAAGGAGGAAUAAUCCAAAACAGAACAUGAAAAUUGACAAUAAUCAAGCUUAAUCAAUCAAGAACAAUAUCCAAGUGGUCUCAUGUCAAUAGCAUCAACCAAUUUCAUUUCACAAAUCAAUCAUGGCAAAGCAUGCAAGUUGAAAGCUCAUUGAAGCAAUAGAAUGAACAAAGGCAUAUUAAUUCCAGAAUGGUUCCAUAAAUCUCAAGAAAAAUCAUGGCUAAAGAGAACACAUCAA